This 522-nucleotide ribosomal RNA is filed under the name uncultured bacterium. RNAcentral describes it as "bacterial SSU rRNA". It matches the Rfam family "Bacterial small subunit ribosomal RNA", at positions 777 to 1297 of the family's 1533-position model. The record is from RNAcentral.
AAUAGAUACCCUGGUAGUCCACGCCGUAAACGAUGAGUGCUAAGUGUUAGAGGGUUUCCGCCCUUUAGUGCUGCAGCUAACGCAUUAAGCACUCCGCCUGGGGAGUACGGUCGCAAGACUGAAACUCAAAGGAAUUGACGGGGGCCCGCACAAGCGGUGGAGCAUGUGGUUUAAUUCGAAGCAACGCGAAGAACCUUACCAGGUCUUGACAUCCUCUGAUAACUCUAGAGAUAGAGCGUUCCCCUUCGGGGGACAGAGUGACAGGUGGUGCAUGGUUGUCGUCAGCUCGUGUCGUGAGAUGUUGGGUUAAGUCCCGCAACGAACGCAACCCUUGAUCUUAGUUGCCAGCAUUUAGUUGGGCACUCUAAGGUGACUGCCGGUGACAAACCGGAGGAAGGUGGGGAUGACGUCAAAUCAUCAUGCCCCUUAUGACCUGGGCUACACACGUGCUACAAUGGAUGGUACAAAGGGCUGCAAGACCGCGAGGUCAAGCCAAUCCCAUAAAACCAUUCUCAGUUCGGA